Molecule: long non-coding RNA, 407 nt
Organism: Acanthaster planci (crown-of-thorns starfish)
Lineage: Eukaryota; Metazoa; Echinodermata; Asteroidea; Valvatida; Acanthasteridae
Source: RefSeq, a predicted model, not a curated record
UUGAUCAAAGGUCAUUGGCUUCAUAGAUUAAGUUCACCGAAAUGUCUCGAGAAAUUACCCUAUGAGUCACUGGGUAAUUUCCGGAGACAUUUUCAACGCCAUAUCACUUCAGUUCUUUUUUCUCUGACAUUUUUGUUCAGUUAAUGAAAGAGGGACAUAAUAGAAGGUAAACUAGGUUCUUCAAGAGCUUUUUCAAAAAGAAGGUUAGUAAAGCUGUAACUGCAACUCAGGGGUAACAAAGUUGGUGUUGCUGUAAGUGUUGCUGUAAACCAGACAGCGACACACUGCGCAGUGCGACCGAAGUUCACCACAGAACAAAGGGCCAGAGGAGCAAAUAAAGACUCCGAAAAACCGAGGUACAUAGACCGGGUUACUCACUGGAUGCGACGCCAGGUGCCGACACACAC